AACUCAUGUUCCACCAACCCACGUUCAAAAUCCACGAAACACUUAUAAUUCACAUUUUUUGUGAUCAGAUCGGCAUAAAAUAUUUCCUUUGUUUUUGUUCUUCUGCAAUCGUAUCCCGUGGAUCUCUUGGAUUCUCCAAAAUCAAUUUAUCAUGCAUGAAAGGGGCCUAAAAUAGAGCGGGGCAUAACUGUGUUGCUGUCUAUCAGUCUAGACGACGGAGGACCACUGCCACCGGCGGCUAAAGCAGCACAUGAACUUGGCUUCUGGUCAGUCUUUUGUGGAUAGUUAUUUAUGUGCAGAGAUGGCCAUAAAUCCCCCGCCAUCAGCUCCACAGGGUCUAUGGGACUUGCUUUGCAGACACCGCUUCUCUCAUUUGUACACCAGCAUAUACUGCUAUUGUAUGAUUAUGUAAUGAGGCUAUAACUUUCUGACAGUUUCUUACGUAAAUAUUUUUUAUGAUUGAGAAAUUCCUUCCUUUUAGUUAGAAUUUUUUUUGUAGAAUUCCUAUGACAAUGCUAUGUAGGAUAGCCAGAUGAUUGCAGUUAUCUGUUUAAGUUGUUGUUGGCAUUUAGUUAUACAAAAAAAAAAAAAAAAAAAUUGUGAAGGGCGUUGAUUUUACCCUGCAUAUUAAACAACUCUACUGGGUCGAAAUGAGGAUGGGAGAAUGGUUAUGAA
RNA transcript from Lycium barbarum (goji berry), 675 nucleotides. RefSeq lists it as uncharacterized. The record is from RefSeq and is a predicted model, not a curated record. NCBI's taxonomy places the organism in Eukaryota, Viridiplantae, Streptophyta, Magnoliopsida, Solanales, Solanaceae. The transcript is spliced from 4 exons.